AGAGUUUGAUCAUGGCUCAGAACGAACGCUGGCGGCGUGGAUAAGACAUGCAAGUCGAACGGAUUAUCUGGUGUAGCAAUACAUCAGGUAGUUAGUGGCGUAAGGGUGCGUAACACGUGGGCAACCUGCCCUUGAGUUGGGGAUAGCCCGCCGAAAGGCGGAUUAAUACCGAAUGUGGCGAGGGAAGACAUCUUCCUGUAGCUAAAGCCGGGGCAACCUGGCGCUCUUGGAUGGGCCCGCGGCCUAUCAGCUAGUUGGUGAGGUAACGGCUCACCAAGGCUAUGACGGGUAGCUGGUCUGAGAGGACGACCAGCCACACUGGAACUGAGACACGGUCCAGACACCUACGGGUGGCAGCAGUCGAGAAUUUUUCUCAAUGGGGGAAACCCUGAAGGAGCGACGCCGCGUGGAGGAUGAAGGUCUUCGGAUUGUAAACUCCUGUCAUUGGUGAACAAGACCCUCGGAGUAACUGCCGUUGGGGUUGAUAGUAGCCGAAGAGGAAGAGACGGCUAACUCUGUGCCAGCAGCCGCGGUAAUACAGAGGUCUCAAGCGUUGUUCGGAUUCAUUGGGCGUAAAGGGUGCGUAGGUGGCGGGGUAAGUCUGGUGUGAAAUCCUGGGGCUCAACCCCGGAACUGCACUGGAUACUGCUUUGCUAGAGUACUGGAGAGGGAACUGGAAUUUACGGUGUAGCAGUGAAAUGCGUAGAUAUCGUAAGGAAGACCAGUGGCGAAGGCGAGUUCCUGGACAGUUACUGACACUGAGGCACGAAGGCCAGGGGAGCAAACGGGAUUAGAUACCCCAGUAGUCC
Molecule: ribosomal RNA, 809 nt
Filed under: uncultured bacterium
Lineage: Bacteria
Description: bacterial SSU rRNA
Rfam family: Bacterial small subunit ribosomal RNA
Source: RNAcentral